CCUACGGGUGGCAGCAGUGGGGAAUAUUGGGCAAUGGGCGCAAGCCUGACCCAGCAACGCCGCGUGAAGGAAGAAGUCUUUCGGGUUGUAAACUUCUUUUAUCAGGGACGAAGCAAGUGACGGUACCGUAUGAAUAAGCCACGGACAACUACGUGCCAGCCGCCGCGGUAAGACGUAGGCGGCAAGCGUCAUCCGGUGUUACUGGGUGUAAAGGGCGGGUAGGCGGGAGUGCAAGUCAGAUGUGAAAACUAUGGGCUCAACCCCAGUGCUGCAUUGGAAACUGUACUGCUUGAGUGCUGGAGAGGCAAUCGGAAUUCCGAGUGUAGCGGUGAAAUGCGUAGAUAUAAGGAGGAACACCAGUGGCGAAGGCGGAUUGCUGGACAGUAACUGACGCUGAGGCGCGAAAGCGUGGGGAGCAAACAGGAUUAGAUACCCCAGUAGUC
RNAcentral lists this ribosomal RNA (443 nucleotides) under uncultured bacterium. Its description in RNAcentral is "partial 16S ribosomal RNA". It matches the Rfam family "Bacterial small subunit ribosomal RNA", at positions 338 to 795 of the family's 1533-position model. The record is from RNAcentral.